RNAcentral lists this ribosomal RNA (404 nucleotides) under uncultured bacterium. Its description in RNAcentral is "bacterial SSU rRNA". It matches the Rfam family "Bacterial small subunit ribosomal RNA", at positions 430 to 826 of the family's 1533-position model. The record is from RNAcentral.
GCACUUUAAGCAGUGAAGAAGACUCUGUGGUUAAUACCCACGGACGAUGACAUUAGCUGCAGAAUAAGCACCGGCUAACUCUGUGCCAGCAGCCGCGGUAAUACAGAGGGUGCAAGCGUUAAUCGGAAUUACUGGGCGUAAAGGGAGCGUAGGUGGCUCUAUAAGUCAGAUGUGAAAUCCCCGGGCUCAACCUGGGAACUGCAUCUGAAACUGUAGAGCUAGAGUAUGUGAGAGGAAGGUAGAAUUCCAGGUGUAGCGGUGAAAUGCGUAGAGAUCUGGAGGAGUACCGAUGGCGAAGGCAGCCUUCUGGCAUAAUACUGACACUGAGGCUCGAAAGCGUGGGUAGCAAACAGGAUUAGAUACCCUGGUAGUCCACGCCGUAAACGAUGUCUACUAGUCGUUGG